This is a non-coding RNA of Acanthosepion pharaonis, 109 nucleotides long. The record is from the annotation of a GenBank genome assembly. NCBI's taxonomy places the organism in Eukaryota, Metazoa, Mollusca, Cephalopoda, Sepiida, Sepiidae.
AUACGGCCAUAUCACGUUGUAACACCGGUUCCCGUGCGAUCACCGAAGUUAAGCAACGUUGAGACUGGUCAGUAACUAGAUGGAUGACCGCUUGGGAGCAACAGGUAUU